AGAGUUUGAUCCUGGCUCAGGAUGAACGCUGGCGGCGUGCCUAAUACAUGCAAGUCGAACGCUUUGUGCUUAAUUGAUAUGAUGAGCUUGCUCUGAUUUGAUUUUUUGAUUUCAAAGAGUGGCGAACGGGUGAGUAACACGUGGGUAACCUACCUCUUAGCAGGGGAUAACAUUUGGAAACAAGUGCUAAUACAUGUAUAAUACCAACAACCGCAUGGUUGUUGGUUGAAAGAUGGUUCUGCUAUCACUAAGAGAUGGACCCGCGGUGCAUUAGCUAGUUGGUAAGGUAAUGGCUUACCAAGGCAAUGAUGCAUAGCCGAGUUGAGAGACUGAUCGGCCACAAUGGGACUGAGACACGGCCCAUACUCCUACGGGAGGCAGCAGUAGGGAAUCUUCCACAAUGGGCGCAAGCCUGAUGGAGCAACGCCGCGUGUGUGAUGAAGGGUUUCGGCUCGUAAAACACUGUUAUAAGAGAAGAACGGCACUGAGAGUAACUGUUCAGUGUGUGACGGUAUCUUACCAGAAAGGAACGGCUAAAUACGUGCCAGCAGCCGCGGUAAUACGUAUGUUCCAAGCGUUAUCCGGAUUUAUUGGGCGUAAAGCGAGCGCAGACGGUUAUUUAAGUCUGAAGUGAAAGCCCUCAGCUCAACUGAGGAAUUGCUUUGGAAACUGGAUGACUUGAGUGCAGUAGAGGAAAGUGGAACUCCAUGUGUAGCGGUGAAAUGCGUAGAUAUAUGGAAGAACACCAGUGGCGAAGGCGGCUUUCUGGACUGUAACUGACGUUGAGGCUCGAAAGUGUGGGUAGCAAACAGGAUUAGAUACCCUGGUAGUCCACACCGUAAACGAUGAGUGCUAGAUGUUCGAGGGUUUCCGC
This 874-nucleotide ribosomal RNA is filed under the name uncultured bacterium. Its description in RNAcentral is "bacterial SSU rRNA". It matches the Rfam family "Bacterial small subunit ribosomal RNA", at positions 8 to 837 of the family's 1533-position model. The record is from RNAcentral.